RNAcentral lists this microRNA precursor (51 nucleotides) under Ciona intestinalis (vase tunicate). RNAcentral's name for it is "microRNA cin-mir-4000f precursor". Lineage: Eukaryota; Metazoa; Chordata; Ascidiacea; Phlebobranchia; Cionidae. The record is from miRBase by way of RNAcentral.
UGAAACUUCGCUGGAACAGGCCGGGUGACCCGAGCUGUUCACGAAGUUUUA